Molecule: ribosomal RNA, 113 nt
Organism: Sphaerochaeta globosa str. Buddy
Lineage: Bacteria; Pseudomonadati; Spirochaetota; Spirochaetia; Spirochaetales; Sphaerochaetaceae
Source: Rfam
CCCGGUGGCCACAGCAGGGUGGACACACCCGUUCCCAUCCCGAACACGGAAGUUAAGCACCCUCACGCCGAUGGUACUACGGUUAGCCGUGGGAGAGUAGGUAGCCGCCGGGC